UAUUGCACAAUGGGGGGAACCCUGAUGCAGCGACGCCGCGUGAGGGAAGAAGGUUUUUGGAUUGUAAACCUCUGUCCUUGGUAAAGAAGCAAGACGGUAGCCAAGGAGGAAGCCACGGCUAACUACGUGCCAGCAGCCGCGGUAAUACGUAGGCGGCAAGCGUUGUCCGGAAUUACUGGGUGUAAAGGGAGCGUAGGCGGUUAUGCAAGUUGAAUGUGAAAUCUAGCGGCUCAACUGAUAGGCUGCGUUCAAAACUGUAUAUCUUGAGUGAAGUAGAGGCAGGCGGAAUUCCCAGUGUAGCGGUGAAAUGCGUAAAUAUACGGAGGAACACCAGUGGCGAAGGCGGAUUGCUGGACAGUAACUGACGCUGAGGCGCGAAAGCGUGGGGAGCAA
RNAcentral lists this ribosomal RNA (393 nucleotides) under uncultured bacterium. RNAcentral describes it as "bacterial SSU rRNA". It matches the Rfam family "Bacterial small subunit ribosomal RNA", at positions 362 to 771 of the family's 1533-position model. The record is from RNAcentral.